This 1055-nucleotide ribosomal RNA is filed under the name uncultured organism. Its description in RNAcentral is "bacterial SSU rRNA". It matches the Rfam family "Bacterial small subunit ribosomal RNA", at positions 106 to 1196 of the family's 1533-position model. The record is from RNAcentral.
GUGAGUAACGCGUGAGAAUCUGCCUUGGGGUCGGGGACAACCACUGGAAACGGUGGCUAAUACCGGAUAAGCCUUUGGGUAAAAAAUUUAUUGCCCCAAGAGGAGCUCGCGUCUGAUUAGCUAGUUGGUGAGGUAAGAGCUCACCAAGGCAGCGAUCAGUAGCUGGUCUGAGAGGACGAUCAGCCACACUGGGACUGAGACACGGCCCAGACUCCUACGGGAGGCAGCAGUGGGGAAUUUUCCGCAAUGGGCGAAAGCCUGACGGAGCAAGACCGCGUGAGGGAGGAAGGCUCUUGGGUUGUAAACCUCUUUUCUCGGGGAAGAAGCUCUGACGGUACCUGAGGAAUCAGCCUCGGCUAACUCCGUGCCAGCAGCCGCGGUAAUACGGAGGAGGCAAGCGUUAUCCGGAAUUAUUGGGCGUAAAGCGUCCGCAGGUGGCGAUUCAAGUCUGCUGUCAAAGCACGGGGCUUAACUCCGUUAAGGCAGUGGAAACUGAAUAGCUAGAGUGCCGUAGGGGUAGAGGGAAUUCCCGGUGUAGCGGUGAAAUGCGUAGAGAUCGGGAAGAACAUCGGUGGCGAAAGCGCUCUACUGGACGGCAACUGACACUCAGGGACGAAAGCUAGGGGAGCGAAUGGGAUUAGAUACCCCAGUAGUCCUAGCUGUAAACGAUGGAUACUAGGUGUAGCUUGUAUCGACCCGAGCUGUGCCGAAGCUAACGCGUUAAGUAUCCCGCUUGGGGAGUACGCACUCAAGUGUGAAUCUCAAAGGAAUUGAGGGGGGUCCGCACAUGCGGUGGAGUAUGUGGUUUAAUUCGAUGCAACUCGAAGAUCCUUACCAGGGCUUUACAUGUCCGGAAUCUCGGUGAAAGCUGGGAGUGCCUUCGGGAGCCGGAUCACAGGUGGUGCAUGGCUGUCGUCAGCUGUUGUCGUGAGAUGUUGGGUUAAGUCCCGCAACGAGCGCAACCCUCGUCUUUAGUUGCCAGCAUUAAUUUGGGCACUCUAGAGAGACCGCCGGUGACAAACUGGAGGAAGGUGGGGAUGACGUCAAGUCAGCAU